RNAcentral lists this ribosomal RNA (421 nucleotides) under uncultured bacterium. Its description in RNAcentral is "bacterial SSU rRNA". It matches the Rfam family "Bacterial small subunit ribosomal RNA", at positions 355 to 775 of the family's 1533-position model. The record is from RNAcentral.
UGGGGAAUCUUGCGCAAUGGCCGAAAGGCUGACGCAGCGACGCCGCGUGUGGGAGGAAGCUCUUCGGGGUGUAAACCACUGUUGCCCGGGACGAACACUUGGUUUCGACCAAGCUGACGGUACCGGGUGAGGAAGCACCGGCUAACUCUGUGCCAGCAGCCGCGGUAAUACAGAGGGUGCGAGCGUUGUCCGGAAUCACUGGGCGUAAAGGGCGCGUAGGUGGUGGCUUAAGCGUGCGGUGAAAGCUCGGGGCUCAACCCCGAGUCGGCCGUGCGAACUGGGCUCACUGGAGCAUAGUAGAGGCAGGUGGAAUUCCGGGUGUAGCGGUGGAAUGCGUAGAGAUCCGGAAGAACACCGGUGGCGAAGGCGGCCUGCUGGGCUAUGGCUGACACUGAGGCGCGACAGCGUGGGGAGCAAACAG